UAAACCAAAAGCUUAGGUUAAACACCAAACCAGGGGCCUUCAAAGCCCCAAACAAGGGCCACAGACCCCUUAGCUUUUG
This 79-nucleotide transfer RNA is filed under the name Trachylepis quinquetaeniata (African five-lined skink). RNAcentral describes it as "tRNA-Trp". Lineage: Eukaryota; Metazoa; Chordata; Lepidosauria; Squamata; Scincidae. The record is from RNAcentral.